CAAUUUAAAGCUUAUUUAGAAAAGCGUUUUAUUUACAUUAAAAAGAUUUCUGUGCAAUUCAGUAUAAAUUGA
Molecule: transfer RNA, 72 nt
Filed under: Xylophagus ater
Lineage: Eukaryota; Metazoa; Arthropoda; Insecta; Diptera; Xylophagidae
Description: tRNA-Val
Rfam family: tRNA
About the family: Transfer RNA (tRNA) molecules are approximately 80 nucleotides in length. Their secondary structure includes four short double-helical elements and three loops (D, anti-codon, and T loops). Further hydrogen bonds mediate the characteristic L-shaped molecular structure. tRNAs have two regions of fundamental functional importance: the anti-codon, which is responsible for specific mRNA codon recognition, and the 3' end, to which the tRNAs corresponding amino acid is attached (by aminoacyl-tRNA synthetases). tRNAs cope with the degeneracy of the genetic code in two manners: having more than one tRNA (with a specific anti-codon) for a particular amino acid; and 'wobble' base-pairing, i.e. permitting non-standard base-pairing at the 3rd anti-codon position.
Source: RNAcentral